GAAUUGUUCGCAAUGGGCGCAAGCCUGACGACGCAACGCCGCGUGGAGGAUGAAGAUUUUCGGAUCGUAAACUCCUGUCGAGUGGGAAGAAUAGCUUUCGGGUAAAUAUCCCGAGAGUUUGACGGUACCACUAAAGGAAGCCCCGGCUAACUCCGUGCCAGCAGCCGCGGUAAUACGGGGGGGGCAAGCGUUGUUCGGAAUUACUGGACGUAAAGGGCUCGUAGGCGGCCCACUAAGUCAGAUGUGAAAUCCCCAGGCUCAACCUGGGAACUGCAUCUGAUACUGGUGGGCUUGAAUUCGGGAGAGGGAUGCAGAAUUCCAGGUGUAGCGGUGAAAUGCGUAGAUAUCUGGAGGAAUACCGGUGGCGAAGGCGGCAUCCUGGACCGACAUUGACGCUGAGGAGCGAAAGCUAGGGGAGCAAAC
This 423-nucleotide ribosomal RNA is filed under the name uncultured bacterium. RNAcentral describes it as "bacterial SSU rRNA". It matches the Rfam family "Bacterial small subunit ribosomal RNA", at positions 359 to 773 of the family's 1533-position model. The record is from RNAcentral.